CUUCCAAGAUGGCGGCGCGUCCGUCGCGAGCGACCGGGCCGAGGGGAGGCCAGCGAAGCCGAGUAAAACCGCCGCCCGGGAGAAGACUGAAGGAGCAGUUGCCGCCGUUGGCGGCGGCCCGAGCAGUUUUCGCUGCUGCUACGGCUGUUGCCAUGAGGCGAGGCUAGGGAGGACCUCACUUCCCCGGGGUGUAAUAAUGUUAACUGAGGCCAGUCUAUCCAUAUGGGGAUGGGGAAGCCUUGGCAUUGUCCUUUUUCUGAUAACCUUUGGACCCUUUGUAAUAUUUUAUUUGACAUUUUAUAUCCUCUGCUUUGUGGGUGGGGGUUUAGUGGUUACUCUCCUGUUUGGAAAAACAAACUCAGAGAAGUACCUAGAACAGUGUGAACACUCAUUUCUUCCUCCAACAUCACCUGGGGUUCCUAAGAAGAAAUGAAACGGGAAGCCAGGACUAUUAAGAUUGAUAGAAGAUUGACGGGUGCCAAUAUAAUUGAUGAACCUCUCCAGCAA
RNAcentral lists this long non-coding RNA (507 nucleotides) under Homo sapiens (human). Its description in RNAcentral is "non-protein coding lnc-PRPS1L1-3:2". Lineage: Eukaryota; Metazoa; Chordata; Mammalia; Primates; Hominidae. The record is from RNAcentral.